UGGGGGGAUAUUGCACAAUGGAGGGAACUCUGAUGCAGCGACGCCGCGUGAGGGAAGAAGGUCUUCGGAUUGUAAACCUCUGUCUUCGGUGACGAAAAUGACGGUAGCCGAGGAGGAAGCCACGGCUAACUACGUGCCAGCAGCCGCGGUAAUACGUAGGUGGCAAGCGUUGUCCGGAAUUACUGGGUGUAAAGGGAGCGUAGGCGGGAAGGCAAGUUGAUUGUCUAAACUAUCGGCUCAACCGAUAGUCGCGAUCAAAACUACUUUCUUGAGUGAAGUAGAGGUAAGCGGAAUUCCUAGUGUAGCGGUGAAAUGCGUAAAUAUUAGGAGGAACACCAGUGGCGAAGGCGGCUUACUGGGCUUUAACUGACGCUGAGGCUCGAAAGCGUGGGUAGCAAACAGGAUUAGAUACCCUGGUAGU
Molecule: ribosomal RNA, 421 nt
Filed under: uncultured Acetanaerobacterium sp.
Lineage: Bacteria; Bacillati; Bacillota; Clostridia; Eubacteriales; Oscillospiraceae
Description: bacterial SSU rRNA
Rfam family: Bacterial small subunit ribosomal RNA
Source: RNAcentral